This 1381-nucleotide long non-coding RNA is filed under the name Olea europaea (common olive). RNAcentral describes it as "long non-coding RNA (OEUR_LNC011199)". Lineage: Eukaryota; Viridiplantae; Streptophyta; Magnoliopsida; Lamiales; Oleaceae. The record is from RNAcentral.
UAGCUUAAAAAAUUAACUUUCCCAAAACGCAUAUAACAAUUCUUUCGAUCUGGGUCAAGAUUAUUGUAACUUGAUCAAGUACUAAUUGAGAACUUCAAUCCCAGUAAAGAUUUUCCUUCUUUUUGUUGCCAUUUCUCUAUUUUUAGUUUUUAUAACAUCUCAAUCCCCCACUGGAAAAAUGUUUUAUUUUUAUUUUGAUAUUGAAGAUGAAAAAACAGAGAUAAAAGCAAAAAAUAUUUCACUAACCAUGUCAUGAAUUGCAAUACCUUUCCACCCAGAUUGAGAAAAUAUAAUACAAAAGUACAAAUCUUUGGCAUACCAACUCGCCUAUGUGACCCUUUUAACUUUCCUAUCCAACAAAAGCAUGUGUGUGAAAUUUUUCCAAUACAACAAGAAUUGUUCAUUCAACAGGAAACUGUACACACGAAAAUAACAUGCAGCUGUUUCUGUUGUCAUUGAACAGAUGAUCACCAAAAACUAAAACAAGAUUGUGAAACAUAUUUAUAAUUUCAAGAUCGGAUGAUCCAUCUUGCUGUUUGCAUAGAUAAUUAAACACCCUAAGAAAUUAAAGCCUUGUUGUUGAUGGUGAAGUUGAACUAGAACACUUUGAAGAAGAAGAAGAAGGAUGAUGGUUUUGAUUUUUGCUACCUCUUGAAGGAUUUGCAGCCGCUUGACGUGGAUCAGUAGAUGUAAACCUACUGGAAUUGCUUCUUAGCUUCUUCUUCUCAUAAACCCCAUCUUCAGCUCUAAUGUGCCGAACCUUUGUCUCAUUCAAACCUGCAGGAAGAACACAGUUGCAGAACAAGCCUGCAAGGUUCAUCAGAUACAGCGUGGUUAUUCAAAGAGAUUAAAAAGGAUUUGUAAUUUUGGUGACAAAAUCUAUAAACCACAUAAAUUAAGGCGAAAUCCCAGAAGUUCAGUGGGAAAAAUCCCCGACCAUUCAUUGCCACUGGUGUUAUCUACACAUGAAAUAUAGAAAUGAAAUCCACAAAGCAGUAUGAGUUCUGUAGAGACCUUUAUGGUUCAACAACAAAAAAUUAGACAUUGAUCCUAAGAAAUUUGGAGUCGACAUUAUGAAUAGUUGAAUACUAAUUCAUCAGUCCGUAUGGUUCAUUGAUAGAUCUUUUGGGAGAUCACCUUUAUGAUUUAAAACCCCAGAAAUCAAUUAUGCCUUUUGAGACAGAUAGGUUAGCAAAUCAAGUGAUCCAAGUUGAUCAGAUCCAGAUUUUGUAAGAGAUAACCUAAACUUAAGUAUUUUUUGGAUCAGAAGGACCACAUACUGACCUACAUAAAUGAUAACCCAAGGACCACCUAAUAGUGUGUCGAUCAAUACAUCUUUGGAAGCAAUAUGCACAUCAAUCAAAGUGCCCAGAUCAACAAU